RNAcentral lists this ribosomal RNA (466 nucleotides) under uncultured bacterium. RNAcentral's name for it is "partial 16S ribosomal RNA". It matches the Rfam family "Bacterial small subunit ribosomal RNA", at positions 28 to 507 of the family's 1533-position model. The record is from RNAcentral.
GACGAACGCUGGCGGCGUGCUUAACACAUGCAAGUCGAACGGAAAGGCCCUGCUUGCAGGGUACUCGAGUGGCGAACGGGUGAGUAACACGUGGGAGAUCUGCCCUGCACUUCGGGAUAAGCUUGGGAAACUGGGUCUAAUACCGGAUAGGAACCAUCUUUAGUGUGGUGGUUGGAAAGUUUUUUCGGUGUAGGAUGAGCUCGCGGCCUAUCAGCUUGUUGGUGGGGUAAUGGCCUACCAAGGCGGCGACGGGUAGCCGGCCUGAGAGGGUGUACGGCCACAUUGGGACUGAGCUACGGCCCAGACUCCUACGGGAGGCAGCAGUGGGGAAUAUUGCACAAUGGGCGCAAGCCUGAUGCAGCGACGCCGCGUGGGGGAUGAAGGCCUUCGGGUUGUAAACUCCUUUCGCUAGGGACGAAGCUUUGUUGUGACGGUACCUAGAGAAGAAGCACCGGCUAACUACGUG